Molecule: RNA transcript, 1007 nt
Organism: Hevea brasiliensis (rubber tree)
Lineage: Eukaryota; Viridiplantae; Streptophyta; Magnoliopsida; Malpighiales; Euphorbiaceae
Gene name: sulfiredoxin, chloroplastic/mitochondrial
Exons: 5
Source: RefSeq, a predicted model, not a curated record
CAAAGCACAUCUAAAAACUAGAGGCUGUCAUUUUGCGGACGUCAGCCAAAAAAUUGUUUCGGCUCGUCUUCACAGAAACUGAGAGAGAAGAAAAUAUAUUGCAAAAAUGGCGAAUUUUGUUCUGCGACUGCCAGCAACCAGCUGCAGGAGCUUCUCUAUCUCAGCAUCAUCCAACGGGGCUGCUCCUGGCAAUGAUAUUGGUAAAUCACAAAAUGGGGGCCCAGUGAUUUUGGAGCUUCCACUGAAUAAGAUAAGGAGGCCCCUACUGCGAACCAGAGCUAAUGAUCCAAAUAAAGUCCAAGAACUGAUGGACAGUAUUAAACAAAUUGGUCUCCAAGUCCCUGUAUUUAUAUAUCAUUUUCUGCUUUCUCUGCAGUUAUUUUCCUUUUUUUUUCGGUUCUUUUGCUUUUGUUUUAUCUUUACUUCCGAUUCGUCUGGACUUCUUUUGGAAUAAAUCAUUUGCAAUUUAUAUUUCUUUGAAAAUGAAUUUUUUUCUAAGUAAAAAAAUUGAAUUCUAAACGUGAGAAUUGAAAAUCAAUUGAAUUGAUAUUCCAAACAGGGAGUUAAUGAAUUCUUUGCAAUUGCGAAAGGGUAUACGCAGUGGAAAUAAGGAUUGAUGUGCUAGAGGUUGAUGGAGUUUACUAUGGCUGUCAUAGGUACGAAGCACACCAGCGGCUUGGUCUCCCAACAAUCCGCUGCAAAGUUCGACGUGGAACAAAAGAAACUCUGAGGCAUCAUCUUCGGUAAUUCUUAGCGGAUUGAGUGAACUAUGCAAAUUUGCGUAUCUUCUGGCAGUUAUUGUAACGCACAUUUGUAGACUCACCAGAUACUUACAAGUAAUUAUGGGAUUUUCUGUUAGUACUUAAAUACACAUUUAUAUACAGUUUCUCCAAUGUAUAUUUCUUAAAAGUGAUUGGCUUCGUCAUAAGCUGCUAUUAUUACGGCAGUUUGUAUUUCUUAGCAAAAGCAAAAAACUGGAAUAAAAUUAAAGCGCUUUGUUCUAUUAA